AAUAAAGUGCCUGAUUAAAGGGUUAUUUUGAUAGAAUAAAUUAUGUAAAAAAAUUACCUUUAUUA
This 65-nucleotide transfer RNA is filed under the name Molanna angustata. Its description in RNAcentral is "tRNA-Ile". The record is from RNAcentral. Lineage: Eukaryota; Metazoa; Arthropoda; Insecta; Trichoptera; Molannidae.